Molecule: ribosomal RNA, 467 nt
Filed under: uncultured bacterium
Lineage: Bacteria
Description: partial 16S ribosomal RNA
Rfam family: Bacterial small subunit ribosomal RNA
Source: RNAcentral
GACGAACGCUGGCGGCGUGCUUAACACAUGCAAGUCGAACGGAAAGGCCCUGCUUUUGUGGGGUGCUCGAGUGGCGAACGGGUGAGUAACACGUGAGUAACCUGCCCUUGACUUUGGGAUAACUUCAGGAAACUGGGGCUAAUACCGGAUAGGAGCUCCUGCUGCAUGGUGGGGGUUGGAAAGUUUCGGCGGUUGGGGAUGGACUCGCGGCUUAUCAGCUUGUUGGUGGGGUAGUGGCUUACCAAGGCUUUGACGGGUAGCCGGCCUGAGAGGGUGACCGGCAAAAUUGGGAGUGAGAUAAGGCCCAGACUCAUAGGGGGGGGAGCAGGGGGGAAAAUUGCAAAAGGGGGGGAAGCCGGAGGCAGAAACGCCGGGGGGGGGAGGAGGGCCUUGGGGUUGUAAACCGCUUUGGCGUGGGAAGAAGGGGGGGUGACGGUAAGGGGUAAAAAAGCACCGGCUAACUACGG